AACAACUCACCUGCCGAAUGAACUAGCCCUGAAAAUGGAUGACGCUUAAGCGGGUUGCCGAAACCGGACCGUUUCGAUAAGAUGCGAUCGAAAUGAGUAGGAGGGCGUGGCGGUUUUGUAGUGAAGGAUGAGACGCAAGUCUAUCUGAAACGGCCGCUAGUGCAGAUCUUGGUGGUAGUAGCAAAUAUUCAAGCGAGAUCCUUGAAGGGCGAAGCGGGGAAGGGUUCCACGCGAACAUUGAUUGGGCGUGGGUGAGUCGUUCCUAAGCCGGGUGGUAAUCGUUCUUCGAUCGGCGAAAGGGAAGCGGGUUAAAAUUCUCGCACACGGAUGUGGAAGCGGUGACGCAAAUUGAGGUGGAGACGUUAGCGGUGGCACUGGGCAGAGUUUUCUUUUCUGUUUAAUCUGAGUUGCACUCUGUGAAAUCCGAUUAUCGGGCGAAACAGGUGCCAACGAGCAUAGCGUCGGGGUGUCCCUGACGUCCAGUAUGCCACCGAUAGCCCUUGAAAAUCCAUCUGCAAUGAAAUUUCACGCCGUGGCGUACCGAUCACCGCAUCAGGUCCCCAAGGUGAACAGCCUCUGCUCAAUAUGAACAAU
This 594-nucleotide ribosomal RNA is filed under the name Hydrolithon sp. ARS-2011. Its description in RNAcentral is "eukaryotic LSU rRNA". It matches the Rfam family "Eukaryotic large subunit ribosomal RNA", at positions 1284 to 1899 of the family's 3401-position model. The record is from RNAcentral. Lineage: Eukaryota; Rhodophyta; Florideophyceae; Corallinales; Hydrolithaceae.